This 253-nucleotide ribosomal RNA is filed under the name uncultured bacterium. RNAcentral describes it as "partial 16S ribosomal RNA". It matches the Rfam family "Bacterial small subunit ribosomal RNA", at positions 524 to 776 of the family's 1533-position model. The record is from RNAcentral.
UACAGAGGGUGCGAGCGUUAAUCGGAAUUACUGGGCGUAAAGCGUGCGUAGACGGUUAUCUAAGUCGGAUGUGAAAGCCCCGGGCUCAACCUGGGAAUUGCAUUCGAGACUGAAUAGCUAGGGUGCGGUAGAGGGAAGCGGAAUUUCCGGUGUAGCGGUGAAAUGCGUAGAUAUCUGGAGGAACACCGGUGGCGAAGGCGGCAUCCUGGACCGGCAUUGACGCUGAGGAGCGAAAGCCAGGGGAGCAAACGGG